RNAcentral lists this ribosomal RNA (253 nucleotides) under uncultured bacterium. RNAcentral's name for it is "partial 16S ribosomal RNA". It matches the Rfam family "Bacterial small subunit ribosomal RNA", at positions 524 to 776 of the family's 1533-position model. The record is from RNAcentral.
UACGUAGGGGGCUAGCGUUGUCCGGAAUCAUUGGGCGUAAAGAGCGUGUAGGCGGUCCGGUAAGUCCGCUGUGAAAGUCGGGGGCUCAACCCUCGAAUGCCGGUGGAUACUGUCGGGCUAGAGUGCGGAAGAGGCGAGUGGAAUCCCUGGUGUAGCGGUGAAAUGCGCAGAUAUCAGGAGGAACACCUAUUGCGAAGGCAGCUCGCUGGGACGUAACUGACGCUGAGACGCGAAAGCGUGGGGAGCAAACAGG